GAGGGGCAGCGGGGGAGCAGCAAUGCUCCCGCCGGCGACCGGCGCACGGGUGAGUAACACGUAUGGAACCUGCCCGCAGCAGGGGGAUAAGCGGAAGAAAUUCCGUCUAAUACCGCGUAACACCGCGGAGGGGCAUCCCUCGGCGGUUAAAGAUUCAUCGGCUGCGGAUGGCCAUGCGGCGCAUUAGCUAGUCGGCGGGGUAACGGCCCACCGAGGCGACGAUGCGUAGGGGUUCUGAGAGGAAGGUCCCCCACACUGGUACUGAGACACGGACCAGACUCCUACGGGAGGCAGCAGUGAGGAAUAUUGGUCAAUGGCCGUAAGGCUGAACCAGCCAAGUCGCGUGAGGGAAGACGGCCCUACGGGUUGUAAACCUCUUUUGUCAGGGAGCAAGGGGCAGGUCGUGACCUGCUGUGAGAGUACCUGAAGAAAAAGCAUCGGCUAACUCCGUGCCAGCAGCCGCGGUAAUACGGAGGAUGCGAGCGUUAUCCGGAUUUAU
This 499-nucleotide ribosomal RNA is filed under the name uncultured bacterium. RNAcentral describes it as "bacterial SSU rRNA". It matches the Rfam family "Bacterial small subunit ribosomal RNA", at positions 64 to 554 of the family's 1533-position model. The record is from RNAcentral.